Molecule: long non-coding RNA, 521 nt
Organism: Oncorhynchus masou masou (cherry salmon)
Lineage: Eukaryota; Metazoa; Chordata; Actinopteri; Salmoniformes; Salmonidae
Exons: 3
Source: RefSeq, a predicted model, not a curated record
CUCCAGAGGUAUCAGUCUCUCUCUCUCUCUCUCCAGAGGUAUCAGUCUCUCUCUCUCUCUCUCUCCAGAGGUAUCAGUCUCUCUCCAGUAUCAGUGUAUCUUCAGACUUACCCAGCAUCGUUGUCCGUCCUCUUCAGUCCUUUGGAGAUGUGAGUCAGACUGUGUCUGAACUGAGAGAGAAACUAGAAGACUUCCUUAAAGGAGAAUGGACCAAGAUCUCCACUACAGUGAAUAUGGUGGAUGUUGUACUGCCUCCAGAGCCCAAGACCAGAGAACAGUUGUUACAAUAUUCCUGUCAGCUCACACUGGACCCAAACACAGCACACACACACCUCUCUGUCUGAAGGGAACAGAAAGGUGACCUAUACAGGCCAAGUCCAACCAUAUCCUGACCAUCCAGACAGAUUCACCAACUACAGGCAGGUUCUGUGUAGAGAGGGUCUGUCUGGACGCUGUUACUGGGAGGUGGAGAGGACUGGUGAUGUUGAUACAGCAGUCUCAUAUAAAGACAUCAGCAGAAC